Molecule: ribosomal RNA, 468 nt
Filed under: uncultured bacterium
Lineage: Bacteria
Description: partial 16S ribosomal RNA
Rfam family: Bacterial small subunit ribosomal RNA
Source: RNAcentral
GACGAACGCUGGCGGCGUGCUUAACACAUGCAGGUCGAACGGAAAGGCCCUGCUUUUGUGGGGUGCUCGAGUGGCGAACGGGUGAGUAACACGUGAGUAACCUGCCCUUGACUUUGGGAUAACUUCAGGAAACUGGGGCUAAUACCGGAUAGGAGCUCCUGCUGCAUGGUGGGGGUGGGAAAGUUUCGGCGGUUGGGGAUGGACUCGCGGCUUAUCAGCUUGUUGGUGGGGUAGUGGCUUACCAAGGCUUUGACGGGUAGCCGGCCUGAGAGGGGGACCGGCCACAUUGGGACUGAGAUACGGCCCAGACGCCUACGGGAGGCAGCAGUGGGGAAUAUUGCACAAUGGGAGGAAGCCUGAUGCGGCAACGCCGCGUGCGGGAUGACGGCCUUCGGGUUGUGAACCGCUUUCGCCUGUGACGAAGCGUGAGUGACGGUAAUGGGUAAAGAAGCACCGGCUAACUACGUG